RNAcentral lists this ribosomal RNA (434 nucleotides) under uncultured bacterium. RNAcentral's name for it is "partial 16S ribosomal RNA". It matches the Rfam family "Bacterial small subunit ribosomal RNA", at positions 29 to 507 of the family's 1533-position model. The record is from RNAcentral.
AGCGAACGCUGGCGGCAGGCCUAACACAUGCAAGUCGAACGAACCUUUCGGGGUUAGUGGCGGACGGGUGAGUAACACGUGGGAACGUGCCUUUAGGUUCGGAAUAACUCAGGGAAACUUGUGCUAAUACCGAAUGUGCCCUUCGGGGGAAAGAUUUAUCGCCUUUAGAGCGGCCCGCGUCUGAUUAGCUAGUUGGUUGAGGUAAUGGCUCACCAAGGCGACGAUCAGUAGCUGGUCUGAGAGGAUGAUCAGCCACAUUGGGACUGAGACACGGCCCAAACUCCUACGGGAGGCAGCAGUGGGGAAUCUUGCGCAAUGGGCGAAAGCCUGACGGAGCCAUGCCGCGUGAAUGAUGAAGGUCUUAGGAUUGUAAAAUUCUUUCAACGGGGAAGAUAAUGACGGUACCCGGAGAAGAAGCCCCGGCUAACUUCGUG